UGAAGCCGUCGCCAACCUUUGCUCUUUUAUACAUACUUUAUGUUACUAAACAUGUAAUGACAAGUUAUUAUGAGUUAAAUUCAUACCAUUUUCCAGCAACAGCGACGGGUAAAAAAUGGGGAUUCAUGGCCGCAUAAAUGUAGAAAAAUAAGGAAGAGAUCUGACACUAACCGCAGUAGAAAAUGGAUCCAUGGUGCUGUUGAACGAGUUGGGAGUUUCCGGUCAGAUCCACGCCUUCGAUGUCGGUGAAAGAGGAAGAGGUCGGUUAGCCUUGUCUGGGAUUUACACCGGACUGUGGGAGAGUGUUGGGUUUGUGGAAGGGCAAAAGUGGAAGGCUAGCCAAAGAAUUUUGCUAUUGUACUGAGUUGUUGUCAGGGC
This 378-nucleotide long non-coding RNA is filed under the name Olea europaea (common olive). RNAcentral describes it as "long non-coding RNA (OEUR_LNC011970)". The record is from RNAcentral. Lineage: Eukaryota; Viridiplantae; Streptophyta; Magnoliopsida; Lamiales; Oleaceae.